Molecule: ribosomal RNA, 271 nt
Filed under: uncultured bacterium
Lineage: Bacteria
Description: partial 16S ribosomal RNA
Rfam family: Bacterial small subunit ribosomal RNA
Source: RNAcentral
GUCCACGCUGUAAACGAUGUGUGCUGGAUGUCGGGGGUAUUCACCCCUCGGUAUCGAAGCUAACGCGAUAAGCACACCGCCUGGGGAGGUACGGCCGCAAGGUUGAAACUCAAAGGAAUUGACGGGGGCCCGGCACAAGCGGUGGAGUAUGUGGUUUAAUUCGACGCAACGCGAAGAACCUUACCCAGCCUUGACAUCCCUGGAACCCGAUGGAAACAUCGGGGUGCCCUCGCAAGAGGGAGCCAGGAGACAGGUGCUGCAUGGCUGUCGU